AGCUCCAAUAGCGUAUAUUAAAGUUGUUGCAGUUAAAAAGCUCGUAGUUGGAUUUCUGGUAGGAGCAUACAAUUUCUCACAAAGUGGGGAUAUAUGUAUUGUCUCCGGCCAUCCUUGGGUGGAAACUAUUUGGCAUUAAGUUGUUGAGUAGUUGAUACCCAUCAUUUACUGUGAAAAAAUAGAGUGUUCAAAGCAGGCUUAUGCCAUUGAAUAUAUUAGCAUGGAAUAAUAAGAUAGGACUCUGGUACUAUUUUGUUGGUUUGUGUACCAUUGUAAUGAUUAAUAGGGACAGUUGGGGGUAUUUGUAUUCAGUUGUCAGAGGUGAAAUUCUUGGAUUUACGGAAGAC
This 347-nucleotide ribosomal RNA is filed under the name uncultured eukaryote. RNAcentral's name for it is "SSU rRNA". It matches the Rfam family "Eukaryotic small subunit ribosomal RNA", at positions 587 to 936 of the family's 1831-position model. The record is from RNAcentral.